AGUGACGCGGAGACAUUUAUCUCAGCAGAUGAAUUUAGAAUCAAUUUAUGGAAGCUUGAGGUCAGUGAUCGGAAUUUCAAUAUCAUCGACAUGACGCCGUCAAACGUGGAGGAUGAUGCUUUUGAGAUAAUAACAUCAGCUGAAUUCCAUCCAGUACACUGCAACCUCCUAGCAGAUGGCAGCUCCAAAGGUGUGAUUCGUAAAUCUGACUUGUGACAAGCAGCAAGAUGUGACCGUAGUGUUAGACUUCCUCAUUCAGCUUGAUUAUACGGAUUUGUUGAUCGAACACUCUUCCCCAUGAAAUCCCCUUUUGAGGAAAUGGCUGCAUGCAUUUCCAAUGUAAAAUUUAUGCGUGAUGGCACUGGUGGGCAGCAGCUUACAAGUCGUGAUUACAUGAAUGUGAAGCUUUGGGACAUGCGCAUGGAUUCUCGUCCACUUGCAGCAUUUAGAAUUCAUGAGCACCCGCGCCCUAGACUAGCCGAGUUAUACUGUAAGGACCACAUAUUCGAUCAAUUUGACUGCUGCUUUCGUAGAGAUGGACUUCGUUUUGCAACUGGUUCUUACGGGUCUGCCUUUCUGAAAUAGUGCAAAUUUAUCUCCAAGGUUAUUGUUAAUAACUUGUUUGUCUGUCCUGAUCUCUGUAUCUGCUAAGUUCUCAGUAAUCUCUUGAAAAUAUACUCCAUCGAGAGUAGAAG
Prosopis cineraria is the source of this 695-nucleotide long non-coding RNA. RefSeq lists it as uncharacterized. The record is from RefSeq and is a predicted model, not a curated record. The transcript has 5 exons. NCBI's taxonomy places the organism in Eukaryota, Viridiplantae, Streptophyta, Magnoliopsida, Fabales, Fabaceae.